This 731-nucleotide ribosomal RNA is filed under the name uncultured Campylobacter sp. RNAcentral describes it as "bacterial SSU rRNA". It matches the Rfam family "Bacterial small subunit ribosomal RNA", at positions 28 to 776 of the family's 1533-position model. Lineage: Bacteria; Pseudomonadati; Campylobacterota; Epsilonproteobacteria; Campylobacterales; Campylobacteraceae. The record is from RNAcentral.
AGUGAACGCUGGCGGCGUGCCUAAUACAUGCAAGUCGAACGGAGAUUAAGUAGCUUGCUAUUUAAUCUUAGUGGCGCACGGGUGAGUAAUGUAUAGCUAAUCUGCCCUACACUAGAGGACAACAGUUGGAAACGACUGCUAAUACUCUAUACUCCUCUCUAGCAUAAGUUAGAUAGGGAAAGUUUUUCGGUGUAGGAUGAGGCUAUAUUGUAUCAGCUAGUUGGUGAGGUAAUGGCUCACCAAGGCUAUGACGCAUAACUGGUCUGAGAGGAUGAUCAGUCACACUGGAACUGAGACACGGUCCAGACUCCUACGGGAGGCAGCAGUAGGGAAUAUUGCUCAAUGGGGGAAACCCUGAAGCAGCAACGCCGCGUGGAGGAUGACACUUUUCGGAGCGUAAACUCCUUUUGUUAGGGAAGAACAAUGACGGUACCUAACGAAUAAGCACCGGCUAACUCCGUGCCAGCAGCCGCGGUAAUACGGAGGGUGCAAGCGUUACUCGGAAUCACUGGGCGUAAAGGACGCGUAGGCGGAUUAUCAAGUCUCUUGUGAAAUCCUAUGGCUUAACCAUAGAACUGCUUGGGAAACUGAUAAUCUAGAGUGAGGGAGAGGCAGAUGGAAUUGGUGGUGUAGGGGUAAAAUCCGUAGAGAUCACCAGGAAUACCCAUUGCGAAGGCGAUCUGCUGGAACUCAACUGACGCUAAUGCGUGAAAGCGUGGGGAGCAAACAGG